GACGAACGCUGGCGGCGUGCUUAACACAUGCAAGUCGAACGGAAAGGCGCUGCGUUUGUGGGGUGCUCGAGAGGCGCACGGGUGAGUAUCACGUGAGUAUCCUGCCCUUGACUGUGGGGUAACUCCAGGGGAAACGGGCUAAAAUCGGAGAGAAGAUCCUGCUGCAUGGGGUGGGUUGGAAAGAGUCGGCGGUUGGGGAUGGUCUGGCGGCUUAUCAGCUUGAUUGGGGGGUAGUGGCUGACCAGGGCUUUGACGGGUAGCCGGCCUGAGAGGGUGACCGGCCACAUUAGGCCUGAGAUACGGCCCAGACUGCUACGUGAGGCAGCAGUGGGGAAUCUUACGCAGUGGGCGGAAGCCUGAUGCAGCAGCGCCGCGUGCGUGAUGACGUGCUUCGGGUUGUAAACCGCUUUCGCCUGUGACGAAGCGUGAGUGACGGUACUGGGUCAAGAAGCACCGGCUAACUACGUG
Molecule: ribosomal RNA, 468 nt
Filed under: uncultured bacterium
Lineage: Bacteria
Description: partial 16S ribosomal RNA
Rfam family: Bacterial small subunit ribosomal RNA
Source: RNAcentral